Molecule: ribosomal RNA, 253 nt
Filed under: uncultured bacterium
Lineage: Bacteria
Description: partial 16S ribosomal RNA
Rfam family: Bacterial small subunit ribosomal RNA
Source: RNAcentral
UACGGAGGGUGCAAGCGUUAUCCGGAUUCACUGGGUUUAAAGGGUGCGUAGGCGGAUAGGUAAGUCCGUGGUGAAAUCCUGCAGCUUAACUGCAGAACUGCCAUGGAUACUAUUUAUCUUGAAUGUCGCGGAGGUUAGCAGAAUAUGUCAUGUAGCGGUGAAAUGCUUAGAUAUGACAUAGAAUACCCAUUGCGAAGGCAGCUAACUACGCGAUAAUUGACGCUGAUGCACGAAAGCGUGGGGAUCAAACAGG